This 484-nucleotide ribosomal RNA is filed under the name uncultured bacterium. RNAcentral's name for it is "partial 16S ribosomal RNA". It matches the Rfam family "Bacterial small subunit ribosomal RNA", at positions 30 to 507 of the family's 1533-position model. The record is from RNAcentral.
AUUGAACGCUGGCGGCAGGCCUAACACAUGCAAGUCGAGCGGAUGAAGGGAGCUUGCUCCUGGAUUCAGCGGCGGACGGGUGAGUAAUGCCUAGGAAUCUGCCUGGUAGUGGGGGAUAACGUCCGGAAACGGGCGCUAAUACCGCAUACGCCCUGAGGGAGAAAGUGGGGGAUCUUCGGACCUCACGCUAUCAGAUGAGCCUAGGUCGGAUUAGCUAGUUGGUGGGGUAAAGGCCUACCAAGGCGACGAUCCGUAACUGGUCUGAGAGGAUGAUCAGUCACACUGGAACUGAGACACGGUCCAGACUCCUACGGGAGGCAGCAGUGGGGAAUAUUGGACAAUGGGAGAAAGCCUGAUCCAGCCAUGCCGCGUGUGUGAAGAAGGUCUUCGGAUUGUAAAGCACUUUAAGUUGGGAGGAAGGGCAGUAAGUUAAUACCUUGCUGUUUUGACGUUACCAACAGAAUAAGCACCGGCUAACUUCGUG